RNAcentral lists this ribosomal RNA (1414 nucleotides) under Escherichia coli. RNAcentral describes it as "partial 23S ribosomal RNA". It matches the Rfam family "Bacterial large subunit ribosomal RNA", at positions 470 to 1869 of the family's 2925-position model. The record is from RNAcentral. Lineage: Bacteria; Pseudomonadati; Pseudomonadota; Gammaproteobacteria; Enterobacterales; Enterobacteriaceae.
AUACUCCUGACUGACCGAUAGUGAACCAGUACCGUGAGGGAAAGGCGAAAAGAACCCCGGCGAGGGGAGUGAAAAAGAACCUGAAACCGUGUACGUACAAGCAGUGGGAGCCUCUUUUAUGGGGUGACUGCGUACCUUUUGUAUAAUGGGUCAGCGACUUAUAUUCUGUAGCAAGGUUAACCGAAUAGGGGAGCCGAAGGGAAACCGAGUCUUAACUGGGCGUUAAGUUGCAGGGUAUAGACCCGAAACCCGGUGAUCUAGCCAUGGGCAGGUUGAAGGUUGGGUAACACUAACUGGAGGACCGAACCGACUAAUGUUGAAAAAUUAGCGGAUGACUUGUGGCUGGGGGUGAAAGGCCAAUCAAACCGGGAGAUAGCUGGUUCUCCCCGAAAGCUAUUUAGGUAGCGCCUCGUGAAUUCAUCUCCGGGGGUAGAGCACUGUUUCGGCAAGGGGGUCAUCCCGACUUACCAACCCGAUGCAAACUGCGAAUACCGGAGAAUGUUAUCACGGGAGACACACGGCGGGUGCUAACGUCCGUCGUGAAGAGGGAAACAACCCAGACCGCCAGCUAAGGUCCCAAAGUCAUGGUUAAGUGGGAAACGAUGUGGGAAGGCCCAGACAGCCAGGAUGUUGGCUUAGAAGCAGCCAUCAUUUAAAGAAAGCGUAAUAGCUCACUGGUCGAGUCGGCCUGCGCGGAAGAUGUAACGGGGCUAAACCAUGCACCGAAGCUGCGGCAGCGACGCUUAUGCGUUGUUGGGUAGGGGAGCGUUCUGUAAGCCUGUGAAGGUGUGCUGUGAGGCAUGCUGGAGGUAUCAGAAGUGCGAAUGCUGACAUAAGUAACGAUAAAGCGGGUGAAAAGCCCGCUCGCCGGAAGACCAAGGGUUCCUGUCCAACGUUAAUCGGGGCAGGGUGAGUCGACCCCUAAGGCGAGGCCGAAAGGCGUAGUCGAUGGGAAACAGGUUAAUAUUCCUGUACUUGGUGUUACUGCGAAGGGGGGACGGAGAAGGCUAUGUUGGCCGGGCGACGGUUGUCCCGGUUUAAGCGUGUAGGCUGGUUUUCCAGGCAAAUCCGGAAAAUCAAGGCUGAGGCGUGAUGACGAGGCACUACGGUGCUGAAGCAACAAAUGCCCUGCUUCCAGGAAAAGCCUCUAAGCAUCAGGUAACAUCAAAUCGUACCCCAAACCGACACAGGUGGUCAGGUAGAGAAUACCAAGGCGCUUGAGAGAACUCGGGUGAAGGAACUAGGCAAAAUGGUGCCGUAACUUCGGGAGAAGGCACGCUGAUAUGUAGGUGAAGCGACUUGCUCGUGGAGCUGAAAUCAGUCGAAGAUACCAGCUGGCUGCAACUGUUUAUUAAAAACACAGCACUGUGCAAACACGAAAGUGGACGUAUACGGUGUGACGCCUGCCCGGUGC